UCUACACAUCUCGGACGUUCUUCUCCUCCACAGCAGCUCCGCUCGCGACGCGGCGGCGGUCACCUCCCGACCAAGAGACGAUAAAUCGGGGAGACGAGAAGAGAAAAUACCACAAGCUAAAUCACCUCACGAAACUCAGAUAUCAAGUUGAAGCCGGCUUCUCCAUAACCAUAAAUGCGGGAGAAGGAUGCCUGCUGGGAGUAUGGCGACAAACUGGAUGGGAACAGGGUCAGGUGCAGAUUCUGCCACAAGGUUAUAAAUGGUGGAAUAAGCAGGUUCAAGUUUCAUCUGUCUCAAAUUCCAAGCAAAGGUGUCAACCCUUGCAUCAGGGUGACUGAUGAUGUCAGGGCAAAGGUGAUUGCUCUCAUAGAAGCCAAGGAAUCACAGAGGGAGCUCGAGCUACUCAAGAGGAAACGUGUAGCUGAAUUGUCGGUGCUU
Molecule: long non-coding RNA, 438 nt
Organism: Lolium rigidum
Lineage: Eukaryota; Viridiplantae; Streptophyta; Magnoliopsida; Poales; Poaceae
Exons: 3
Source: RefSeq, a predicted model, not a curated record